UGGGGAAUCUUCCGCAAUGGACGAAAGUCUGACGGAGCAACGCCGCGUGUAUGAUGAAGGUCUUCGGAUUGUAAAGUACUGUCAUUGGGGAAGAACGGUUUUCUUGAGAAUAUUGAGAAGACAUGACGGUACCCAAGGAGGAAGCCCCGGCUAACUACGUGCCAGCAGCCGCGGUAAUACGUAGGGGGCAAGCGUUGUCCGGAAUUAUUGGGCGUAAAGGGCGCGUAGGCGGGCCUUUAAGUCCGGUGUGAAAGAUCAGGGCUCAACCCUGAGAGUGCAUCGGAAACUGGAGGCCUUGAGGACAGGAGAGGAAAGUGGAAUUCCACGUGUAGCGGUGAAAUGCGUAGAUAUGUGGAGGAACACCAGUGGCGAAGGCGACUUUCUGGACUGUAACUGACGCUGAGGCGCGAAAAGCGUGGGGAGCAAACAGGAUUAGAUACCCUGGUAGUCCACGCCGUAAACGAUGAGUGCUAGGUGUAGAGGGUAUCGACCCCUUCUGUGCCGCAGUUAACACAAUAAGCACUCCGCCUGGGGAGUAC
RNAcentral lists this ribosomal RNA (539 nucleotides) under uncultured bacterium. RNAcentral's name for it is "partial 16S ribosomal RNA". It matches the Rfam family "Bacterial small subunit ribosomal RNA", at positions 355 to 883 of the family's 1533-position model. The record is from RNAcentral.